UACAGAGGUCUCAAGCGUUGUUCGGAUUCAUUGGGCGUAAAGGGUGCGUAGGCGGCGCGGUAAGUCGGAUGUGAAAUCUCGGAGCUUAACUUCGAAACUGCACUCGAUACUGCCGUGCUUGAGGACUGGAGAGGAGACUGGAAUUUACGGUGUAGCGGUGAAAUGCGUAGAUAUCGUAAGGAAGACCAGUGGCGAAGGCGGGUCUCUGGACAGUUCCUGACACUGAGACACGAAGGCCAGGGGAGCAAACGGG
Molecule: ribosomal RNA, 253 nt
Filed under: uncultured bacterium
Lineage: Bacteria
Description: partial 16S ribosomal RNA
Rfam family: Bacterial small subunit ribosomal RNA
Source: RNAcentral